CCGACUAUAGCUCAGUUGGAAGAGCGAAGGACUGUAACUUGUUAGAUAUCCUUAGGUCCCUGGUUCGAUCCCAGGUGGUCGGA
Molecule: non-coding RNA, 83 nt
Organism: Massospora cicadina
Lineage: Eukaryota; Fungi; Entomophthoromycota; Entomophthoromycetes; Entomophthorales; Entomophthoraceae
Source: the annotation of a GenBank genome assembly